CUGCUAUGAGUUCAGGUCUGCAUACACUAAUUUAGUUCUUAUUUAUUUUACCGAUGCAUAUCUAGGGCUGCUCCAACACCUGCUGGAAGGCACCUGAAGCCCCGAGUGUAACUGGGGCACUGAGGGAGAUCCUGAAAUAAACCCCGCAAGGAGAACUGGACCCCUCAGAUGAGGACCACGCAGUAAAGCACUGAGUAUACUUCAAUGACUAAUAUUCACGCGAGCACAGGAUAAUUUUUCUGAGUCACAGAAUGUCAAAAGGUGAGCAAAUUUUCUAACACGAAGACAUCAUCAGAAAGGGAACACAGAGAAGAAGAAGAACUGCUGCCAUUUUCUUGAGUAGUUGCUGAGGACCGAACACAAUGCUGGAUGCUAUGUACGAACGAAAGGGGUAGCGGCCACUGAGUCCUCUACCUGGGAGACGAGGGACAUUGGAAGAAAGGCAAACCUAUGAGGCAGUAUGGUGGGCUGAUAAUGCGCCCAAAGACAUGUCCCCCUGCUCACCCCUGGGACCUGUGAAUGUUACUGUCCAUGGUAAGUAGAUGUGACUUAAUUAGCUCCUGAGACGCAGAUGUGAUUUAGUUAGCUCCUGAGAUGAACAGAUCACCUUGGAUCAUCCAAUGCUGUUGCAAACAUCCUGACAACGGAGGCCCAGAGAGAUUACGCCCACAGAGAAGAAGACCAUCUGGAGGUAGAGCAGAGACUGGACUGAGAUGGCCACAAGCCUCACAGAUGCUGCAGCCACCAGAAACUGGGAGAGGCUGAAUUCUCCCCUAGAGCUCUCGGGGGGCGGACAGCCUUGCUGACAUCUUGAUUUCAGACUUCCAGCCUCCAGAACUGGGAGAGAAUAAAUUUCUGUUGUCUUCUGCCACCCAAUUCCUGGUAACGUGGAACAGCAGCCCUAGGAAACUAAUACAAUGCUUUCUGUUUCAAGCUGCUUGAUUUGGGGGUCAUUUGUUACGUGGCAAUAGAUAACCAACUCGGUGAGACAAAUGUGUCAAGUGCUUAGAAAAGUACUCGGCAAAUGGUACCUGCCGUUAUGGGUAUCCUGAAGGAACUCAGAAUCCAGUUUGAGAUAAGAAAUAUAUAUCUCUGUCAGACACCAAGAAGGCAAGUAUAACUCGAGAGGAAAAAUGAAAACUCUGCUAAUAUGAAUGACUGGGGAAUAUCGGAAUAGAGAGGCAUUGGUCUGGGGAGUCUUCUUAGAGGUAGGAGGUGUCACUGGAGCAGAAGGGACACAUCCUAGUAUACUAGAAAGGGAACGAUCAGA
Molecule: long non-coding RNA, 1270 nt
Organism: Rhinolophus ferrumequinum (greater horseshoe bat)
Lineage: Eukaryota; Metazoa; Chordata; Mammalia; Chiroptera; Rhinolophidae
Exons: 3
Source: RefSeq, a predicted model, not a curated record